GAAUUCGCCCUUAGAGUUUGAUCCUGGCUCACGACGAACGCUGGCGGCGCGCCUAACUCAUGCAAGUCUAACGAGAGAUGAGGAGCUUGCUCUUCAAAUCGAGUGGCGAACGGGUGAGUAACACGUGAGGAACCUGCCUCAAAGAGGGGGACAACAGUUGGAAACGACUGCUAAUACCGCAUAAGCCCACGGCUCGGCAUCGAGCAGGGGGAAAAGGAGCAAUCCGCUUUGAGAUGGCCUCGCGUCCGAUUAGCUAGUUGGCGAGGUAAUGGCCCACCAAGGCGACGAUCGGUAGCCGGACUGAGAGGUUGAACGGCCCACAUUGGGACUGAGACACGGCCCAGACUCCUACGGGAGGCAGCAGUGGGGAAUUAUUGCACAAUGGGGGAAACCCUGAUGCAGAGACGCCGCGUGGAGGAAGAAGGUCUUCGGAUUGUAAACUCCUGUUGCUGAGGAAGAUAAUGACGGUACUCAACAAGGAAGUGACGGCUAACUACGUGCCAGCAGCCGCGGUAAAACGUAGGUCACAAGCGUUGUCCGGAAUUACUGGGUGUAAAGGGAGCGCAGGCGGGAGAACAAGUUGGAAGUGAAAUCCAUGGGCUCAACCCAUGAACUGCUUUCAAAACUGUUUUUCUUGAGUAGUGCAGAGGUAGGCGGAAUUCCCGGUGUAGCGGUGGAAUGCGUAGAUAUCGGGAGGAACACCAGUGGCGAAGGCGGCCUACUGGGCACCAACUGACGCUGAGGCUCGAAAGUGUGGGUAGCAAACAGGAUUAGAUACCCUGGUAGUCCACACCGUAAACGAUGAU
Molecule: ribosomal RNA, 806 nt
Filed under: uncultured bacterium
Lineage: Bacteria
Description: bacterial SSU rRNA
Rfam family: Bacterial small subunit ribosomal RNA
Source: RNAcentral